GAUGAACGCUGACAGAAUGCUUAACACAUGCAAGUCAACUUGAAUUUGGGUUUUUAACUUAGGUUUGGGUGGCGGACGGGUGAGUAACGCGUAAAGAACUUGCCUCACAGCUAGGGACAACAUUUGGAAACGAAUGCUAAUACCUAAUAUUAUGAUAAUAGGGCAUCCUAUAAUUAUGAAAGCUAUAAGCGCUGUGAGAGAGCUUUGCGUCCCAUUAGCUAGUUGGAGAGGUAACGGCUCACCAAGGCGAUGAUGGGUAGCCGGCCUGAGAGGGUGAUCGGCCACAAGGGGACUGGGACACGGCCCUUACUCCUACGGGAGGCAGCAGUGGGGACUAUUGGACGAUGGACCGAGAGUCUGAUCCAGCAAUUCUGUGUGCACAAUGAAGUUUUUCGGAAUGUAAAGUGCUUUCAGUUGGGAAGAAACAAAUGACGGUACCAACAGAAGAAGUGACGGCUAAAUACGUG
RNAcentral lists this ribosomal RNA (467 nucleotides) under uncultured bacterium. Its description in RNAcentral is "partial 16S ribosomal RNA". It matches the Rfam family "Bacterial small subunit ribosomal RNA", at positions 28 to 507 of the family's 1533-position model. The record is from RNAcentral.